AAGAUGGAUUAAAGAUUUAAAUGUAAGAUUAGAAAUUAUAAAAUUUUUAGAGGAGAAUAUAGGUAAAAUAUUUUUUGAUAUAUAUUAUAGUAGGAUUUUUUAUGAUUUAUUUUUUAGAAUAUUGGAAAUAAAAGUAAAAAUAAAUAAAUGGGAUUUAAUUAAAUUUAAAAGUUUUUGUAUAUUAAAGGAAAUUAUUAGUAAGGUGAAAAGAUA
Molecule: unclassified non-coding RNA, 213 nt
Filed under: Hevea brasiliensis (rubber tree)
Lineage: Eukaryota; Viridiplantae; Streptophyta; Magnoliopsida; Malpighiales; Euphorbiaceae
Source: RNAcentral